AUUGAACGCUGGCGGCAGGCCUAACACAUGCAAGUCGAACGGUAACAGGAAGCAGCUUGCUGCUUCGCUGACGAGUGGCGGACGGGUGAGUAAUGUCUGGGAAGCUGCCUGAUGGAGGGGGAUAACUACUGGAAACGGUAGCUAAUACCGCAUAAUGUCGCAAGACCAAAGAGGGGGACCUUCGGGCCUCUUGCCAUCGGAUGUGCCCAGAUGGGAUUAGCUUGUUGGUGGGGUAACGGCUCACCAAGGCGACGAUCCCUAGCUGGUCUGAGGGGAUGACCAGCCACACUGGAACUGAGACACGGGCCAGACUCCUACGGGAGGCAGCAGUGGGGAAUAUUGCACAAUGGGCGCAAGCCUGAUGCAGCCAUGCCGCGUGUAUGAAGAAGGCCUUCGGGUUGUAAAGUACUUUCAGCGGGGAGGAAGGGAGUAAAGUUAAUACCUUUGCUCAUUGACGUUACCCGCAGAAGAAGCACCGGCUAACUCCGUG
Molecule: ribosomal RNA, 490 nt
Filed under: uncultured bacterium
Lineage: Bacteria
Description: partial 16S ribosomal RNA
Rfam family: Bacterial small subunit ribosomal RNA
Source: RNAcentral